RNAcentral lists this ribosomal RNA (465 nucleotides) under uncultured bacterium. RNAcentral's name for it is "partial 16S ribosomal RNA". It matches the Rfam family "Bacterial small subunit ribosomal RNA", at positions 338 to 795 of the family's 1533-position model. The record is from RNAcentral.
CCUACGGGGGGCAGCAGUGGGGAAUAUUGUGCAAUGGGCGAAAGCCUGACGCAGCGACGCCGCGUGAGGGAUGAAGGUCUUCGGAUCGUAAACCUCUGUCAGCAGGGAAGAACGCUCCCUGUGCUAAUCAGCAGUGAAUUGACGGUACCUGCAAAGGAAGCACCGGCUAACUCCGUGCCAGCAGCCGCGGUAAUACGGAGGGUGCGAGCGUUAAUCGGAAUUACUGCGAGUCAAGCGCUCGUAGGCGGUAUGUCAAGUCAAGGGUGAAAUCCCCGCGCGCAACGUGGGAACUGCCUUUGAAACUGGGAAACUGGAGUGUGUGAGAGGAGAGUGGAAUUCCAGGUGUAGGAGUGAAAUCCGUAGAUAUCUGGAGGAACAUCAGUGGCGAAGGCGACUAUCUGGAACAUAACUGACGCUGAGGAGCGAAAGCGUGGGUAGCAAACAGGAUUAGAUACCCUUGUAGUC